UGGGCGUCGUGUGCUGCGUCUCUCCUGUCAAUGCUUUCCCAUCAUAUAGAUAGGUUUGCAUUGUGUGGAUGUGAAAGAUUGGCCCCUUGUGCCUAGGUGCGGUGGGUCUAAGAACUUAAUGUUUUGAUGGUUCGAAACCUGGCAGGAGGUGGAGGAUGUUGGCAGCUAUA
RNAcentral lists this ribosomal RNA (170 nucleotides) under Cypripedium parviflorum var. pubescens. RNAcentral describes it as "5.8S ribosomal RNA". The record is from RNAcentral. Lineage: Eukaryota; Viridiplantae; Streptophyta; Magnoliopsida; Asparagales; Orchidaceae.